GUGUAUUAGAUACCCGGGUAGUCCACGCCCUAAACGAUGCGAACUGGACGUUGGGUGCAAUUGAGCAUUCAGUGUCGAAGCUAACGCGUUAAGUUCGCCGCCUGGGGAGUACGGUCGCAAGACUGAAACUCAAAGGAAUUGACGGGGGCCCGCACAAGCGGUGGAGUAUGUGGUUUAAUUCGAUGCAACGCGAAGAACCUUACCUGGCCUUGACAUCCACGGAAGUCUGCAGAGAUGCGGAUGUGCCUUCGGGAACCGUGAGACAGGUGCUGCACGGUUGUCGCCAGCU
RNAcentral lists this ribosomal RNA (289 nucleotides) under uncultured bacterium. Its description in RNAcentral is "partial 16S ribosomal RNA". It matches the Rfam family "Bacterial small subunit ribosomal RNA", at positions 773 to 1060 of the family's 1533-position model. The record is from RNAcentral.